UUCACUACAGGGGAAAGAAACGAAAAAAAAUUAGUUAAGCAAAGCCCGCCCAUGGCCUACCCCUCCUACUCUUCCAUACCAGUGAAAGAAGUUAUUCUUUCGAAUAGGCCUAACCCUUGGGGAGAGGGUUAUGUUAUUGGGUUAUAAAGAGGGACUCCCACCUAACUCAACCAUAAGGAGACAUUUAGAAUAGUGAUUUAUUAUGAAGACUUUUACUAGCAAGUAAGUG
Molecule: long non-coding RNA, 229 nt
Filed under: Lathyrus oleraceus (garden pea)
Lineage: Eukaryota; Viridiplantae; Streptophyta; Magnoliopsida; Fabales; Fabaceae
Description: Pisum sativum (pea) long non-coding RNA (PSAT_LNC016337)
Source: RNAcentral